This 744-nucleotide long non-coding RNA is filed under the name Musa acuminata (dwarf banana). Its description in RNAcentral is "long non-coding RNA (MACU_LNC006716)". The record is from RNAcentral. Lineage: Eukaryota; Viridiplantae; Streptophyta; Magnoliopsida; Zingiberales; Musaceae.
GUGUAGAUUUGUCAUUCCAUGCCAACUACAUAUCCCAAUUCAUUGCAAGAGAUAAUGAGAGUAUCUUCCUCACAGUGAGUGCAUGGAAUUGGAUACAAGCUUCUGCAACCUUUGUCUUAAUUAGAGCCUGGUAUUGGUCAUGUUGCAUAAGGAUACCUUCACACACAAUACAAAAAAAAGAUCCAAAACUUACCAUGUGGAAAUGGAUUCUCUUCAGGGGCCACAUUUGUCUCUUCAAGUUCUCAAAGGUCACUAUCAGUUUCAAUUAGCAUCAGAACAGAAAGAAGGGCCACCUAGAAGAAAGGGGCAUGCCCAAGCCUAAAUCUAUGUAAUAAACAUAUGUUUCUAAUUACAAUAGGAAGAAGAAAACAAGACACAUAGCAGUGUCCUCAAAGCUAAUUUGUGCAUUUCAGAAACAAAGAAGAGCCAUUGAGAAAUAAAACUUCCUUUAAUCAAGUGUAUGAUACUGUAAGUGGCAAGAAUGCACAUUACCAAUUUCUUCUCCUAGCAUAAAUAUCCAAAUAUUAACUUCAAAUGCACUGCAAAUAGUUCUUUAAAGCACUUAAACCAUUAUGUUCCGAGAAUUGAAUGCUCGAAUUUAAGAGCGAUCGCUAUAAGCAUCUGGAUAGACGAGCUUUUAUCUGGAUGCAUCUUAUAUAUCUGAAUUAUGAAUCAACUGCUUGUUAGAGAUUCCAAAUAACAAUUUGCAUUUCAACAAGAUGCUCCAUCUUGCUGAUAUUGAAC